This 69-nucleotide ribosomal RNA is filed under the name Sinocyclocheilus anshuiensis. Lineage: Eukaryota; Metazoa; Chordata; Actinopteri; Cypriniformes; Cyprinidae. The record is from RNAcentral.
GUCAGCAGGGUUGAGCCUGGUCAGUACCUGGAUGGGAGACCUCCUGGGAAAGCUAGGUUGCUGCUGGAA